CCUACGGGGUGCAGCAGUGAGGAAUAUUGGUCAAUGGACGAGAGUCUGAACCAGCCAAGUAGCGUGAAGGAUGACUGCCCUAUGGGUUGUAAACUUAUUUUAUUAAGGAAUAAAACGAGGCACGCUUGCCUUUUUGCAUGUACUUUAUGACUAAGGGUCGGCUAACUCCGUGCAAGCGGCCGCGGUAAUACGGAGGAUACGAUGGUUAUCCGGAUUUAUUGGGUUGAAGGGGAGCGUGGAUGGGUUGUUAAGUCAGUUGUGAAAGUUUGCGGCUCAAACGUAAAAUUGCAAUUGAUACUGGCAGUCUUGAGUACAGUUGAGGUAGGCGGAAUUCGUGGUGUAGCGGUGAAAUGCUUAGAUAUCACGAAGAACCCCGAUUGCGAAGGCAGCUUACUAAACUGUGACUGACAUUGAUGCUCGAAAGUGUGGGUAUCAAACAGGAUUAGAUACCCUUGUAGUC
This 460-nucleotide ribosomal RNA is filed under the name uncultured bacterium. Its description in RNAcentral is "partial 16S ribosomal RNA". It matches the Rfam family "Bacterial small subunit ribosomal RNA", at positions 338 to 795 of the family's 1533-position model. The record is from RNAcentral.